This 440-nucleotide ribosomal RNA is filed under the name uncultured bacterium. Its description in RNAcentral is "partial 16S ribosomal RNA". It matches the Rfam family "Bacterial small subunit ribosomal RNA", at positions 338 to 795 of the family's 1533-position model. The record is from RNAcentral.
CCUACGGGAGGCAGCAGUGGGGAAUAUUGCACAAUGGGGGAAACCCUGAUGCAGCGACGCCGCGUGAGUGAAGAAGUAUUUCGGUACGUAAAGCUCUAUCAGCAGGGAAGAAAAUGACGGUACCUGAGUAAGACGCCCCGGCUAACUACGUGCCAGCAGCCGCGGUAAGACGUAGGGGGCAAGCGUUAUCCGGAUUUACGUGGUGUAAAGGGAGCGUAGACGGCAGAGAAAGUCUGGAGUGAAAUCCCGGGGCUUAACCCCGGAACUGCUGUGGAAACUGUUCGGCUGGAGUGCAGGAGGGGUAAGCGGAAUUCCUAGUGUAGCGGUGAAAUGCGUAGAUAUUAGGAGGAACACCAGUGGCGAAGGCGGCUUGCUGGACUGUAACUGACGUUGAGGCUCGAAAGCGUGGGGAGCAAACAGGAUUAGAUACCCUUGUAGUC